RNAcentral lists this long non-coding RNA (785 nucleotides) under Bos taurus (domestic cattle). Its description in RNAcentral is "long non-coding RNA NONBTAT019341". The record is from RNAcentral. Lineage: Eukaryota; Metazoa; Chordata; Mammalia; Artiodactyla; Bovidae.
UGAGUUUACUCGAGUUUUAAUAUUAUUGGAUAGUAAACAUAACAGAAAUACUUGAAGUAGUUCUGCAGUGUUUUUAUCUUCUCAGGACCAUCUACACUGCUUCUGAAGCAAAUCACUUCCCUUCUUGAGUGGGAGAUAGAUGUCUUCCUAGUCACCCAGUUUUAUAACCAUCAGUAGUGACCUGUUUCCUUGGCCACAACGAGGCCCAUCAGAGUACCUCUCAGAGAUUUUAUCUUCCUGAAGCCAAAGAGGGAGGGUUUUUGUUUGUUUCUCCCUUGGGAUGAUCAUAAAUUAUAAGGAUUCAGUUCAGAAGCUGACAUGUAGAGGUACCUAGGAGAAUGCAGCCACUGAGUAGAUACAGAUAAGAGACGGAAACAAGGAGGGAAGGGUGUCGAAUUCACUGGGCUCUGACGUGGUCCACACUGGGUGUGCUUUGUUUGGUUACGUGAGCAGAUUUCUCAUUUGGCUUUCUAUAAAUCAAAGCAAAGAACUAUUAAGACCUCCUUGAAAAACUUAAUGGGAUCAAAUUUCAAAAGUUAAAUGUAUAUAAAUAUAAUUAAAAGGAAAACGAAGGCACAUGAAAGUUUUGAGAUUAGAUGCUCUUAGAAAAAGUACAAAGGCAGGUCAGGUUUUGGAUCACAGUUACCAUUUUGGUUGGAAAAGAAGCUACCACUACAAGGUGGUUUUCAUCUCCUAAUGUUUAUUUUGGAAAAGCAUAUCUGUUUGCAGUUGUAUAGAAAUUAAUAAUGUUUAUGUAAGCUCUGAUAAUAUUAAAGCAUCAUUUG